Molecule: long non-coding RNA, 700 nt
Organism: Spinacia oleracea (spinach)
Lineage: Eukaryota; Viridiplantae; Streptophyta; Magnoliopsida; Caryophyllales; Amaranthaceae
Exons: 7
Source: RefSeq, a predicted model, not a curated record
CUGCUUCUCUUCUUGGUAUAAUCUCAUCCCCAUCUCCUACUGAAAUUUUGUCGACCACACAAUUCACGAAUGAAGGGAGUUUCUUAUGCAGAAAGCUGAAACGGCAGCAAGUGAGACGAAUAGGGCAUCGGUUGUGGCGUUGAAUGCUGAGAUUCGUCGAAUUAAAGGUUGAUUGCAGCGAUUGGCUCAAAAAAAGGGUUAUAUUCGGUUGUGGCGUUGAAUGCUGAGAUUCGUCGAAUUAAAGGUUGAUUGCAGCGAUUGCUGCAUAUUUGUACAAACUUGGAGAAGAUCUCGUAAGUCUAUGCUGGAAAGAAUGAUCAGUGGCAUGAUUGUUAAAAGAGCUUAGCUACUAAAGGAAAUUGAUGAUCAUGAAGCAAAGGUGGCAACCAUAUGUUCUGCAAUGGGAGAGAGACCGUUGCAUAUUCAGCAGCAAAGCAGUUUGCGGCUUUAUAGGGUGUGAUGUCGAUGAACUCCAUCAACUUUCGAUAGUAGAGUUCACAACUUCUUUUUUUCGUUCAGAUAUUGCAAGAGGUUUUUGCAGCCAACAACAUAAGGUUUUUGUCAGAAUCUCUUUUUCCUGAUGUACAGAUGAUUUCGGGAUCAAUUCCAAACUUCCGUAAUGCUGAGGGACAAGAUGUGCUGCUCUUUAUUGACAACAUUUUCCGUUUUACCCAAGCUAACUCAGAGAUGUCUGCUUUAC